GACGUGACGCCAACUUCCGCGCCGGAAGUGGAAGGCCGGGCAGCCCAGCUGAAGGCAAUAAGCUGGGCUCACCGCUGCAGCAGAGUUCUGUGCUAGCCGGGCAUAGGGGCGAGAGAAGGCCCAGAGGCGACGUCAGAGAGAAGCAACUGCGCCCCGGUGAAGAGAAGCUCGCCCAUCACCGGCUGGGAGCCAGCUUUCAGUGAAGAUGGCAGGGCCAGAACUGUUGCUUGACUCCAACAUCUGCCUCUGGGUGGUCCUACCCAUCGUUAUCACUCUUCGUAGACAUGAUCCGCCACUACGUGUCCAUCCUGCUGGAGAGCGACAAGAAGCUCACCCAGGAACAAGUAUCUGACAGGGGACGAGGCACCCACAGUCCCUCUCCCAUAAGCCUGCCAAGAAGAUUGAUGUGGCCCGUGUAACCUUUGACCUGUACAAGCUGAACCCACAGGACUUCAUUGGCUGCCUGAACAUGAAGGCGACUUUUUAUGAUACGUACUCCCUUUCCUAUGAUCUGCACUGCUGUGGGGCCAAACGCAUCAUGAAGGAAGCUCUCCACUGGGCCCUUUUCAGCAUGCAAGCCACGGGCCACGUGCUGCUUCACCUCCUGUUACCUGCAGCAGCUCCUCGAUGCCACAGAGGACGGGCAUCCCCCCAAGGGCAAGGCCUCAUCCCUCAUCCCGACCUGUCUGAAGAUACUGCAGUGAAAGCCCAAGCCCUAGCUUUCCCCAGUGAAGGACUAGACUAGGGGCCCCACGCUCAACUGGUAGUGGCCACAAGCCUGGCAGCUGUAGAGCCGCUAACCUCCCGACACCUCCCUCACCACACAGGACCCUGAGUGAGGAGGAGGGGCUGGAAACCUGGGAUGGGUUGGCCAAAGGAGAACCUCAGGCUCCUGGCCUGGCCCAGCUCCUUCCUGCCCAAGGUAGCUUAGCCCAUCCAGACUGGUCCUGAAGUCUGUCCCUCCAUUGGCAUGAAGUCUGCCCCUCAGCAGUCCGGCCUCACAGGCUGUACUUUCAUGGUGCUCUCUACCUUCUGGCCCCCAUCCCAGAACAUUCGUGAGUGAAUUCGCAAGCAUACUAGCAUGUGAUAUUAGGGAGUUUGCAAUAAAUUAUUGAUGCUGAUGUAUCUUU
RNAcentral lists this long non-coding RNA (1130 nucleotides) under Homo sapiens (human). The record is from RNAcentral. Lineage: Eukaryota; Metazoa; Chordata; Mammalia; Primates; Hominidae.